AAGUUUCUAUCCUUGGACCAAUAUGAAGAAUUUUCUAAUAUUGCAAGUUAAAUAUAUUUAUAUAUAUAUAUCAUCUUCACCUUCAAAAAACAAGAAGCUUGGCUAUCUCCUUGAGUUGUGUAUAGACGAAAAGCCUCGAAGAAAAUACAGUGCUAGCUGAAGAAGAAAGCCAGACAUAGAGUUUUUGCUUCUCAGGUGACAAUUCUUUCUUAGAUUUUGUGUGUGUGUAUAUAUAUAUUUUUUUUUUCUUGUUUUGUUGUCUCUUCUUAAUUAUAGGAUUCUGAUUAAGCACUUUCAAAGAUUAGUUGGAAAUCAAAAUUACUCUAAAAUGGUUGAAAAUUUUGGCUAACGUGUAUACCUCGUACGUGAAGAAAAUGACCUAAAAACUCCAGAUAUCCUUCUCCUUUAUGAAUAAGUCUGAAAAUAUUUUUUUCUUACCUGAAUAGGAGUUUAGAUUCUAAAUUCCUUUUUGUUUUUUUGGUAACUCCCUCUUUCCCCUCUCCCUUCCUAUGAUCUCUUGUUAGCUAUCUUUCAAGAUUUUAUUAUAAUGUGUAUGCAUACGUGAAAGAGAUUUGUACUUAGAGUCUAAUAUUUUCGAUGUUUCAUAUUAUGUGUUAUUAUUUUUUAUAUAUGUUUUAAAAAAAUAGUUUUUAUAUUUGAAAACUUUUAAUUUUUUACUGUAUUCUUAAUAGCAUAUUUUAUUAGCUACUGAUAUCGAGUAUAGACUCGGCUACAUAAAUUAAUACAGAUAUAAUAUUUGGUUAUCUUUUUGCGUUGGGCGUGAGGUGGGAUGGGAUUGUGUGGACAGUGGGGGUAGGGUAGUGUAGUAGUAUCGGUCCUAUUAGUAGUUAGGUGGAGGAAGUAGAAGAAAUGAAUGAUGCUACAAUUUCAUUUUCCUUUCUUUACUUUCUUCUUUUUCUUCUCUGGCCUUUAUUGUUCAGAACGGCGGAUAUGUUGUAACAUAUUCAUAAUUGGUUUUCCAUCAACAACAACAAUAACAUAUAUAUUCAAAAUUAUCUCAUACUGUAAGGUAAAAAAUACUCUGUUAUGCAGACCUUAUCUUUAUUUUAUGAGGAUAGAAAUAUUGUUUCCAAAAAAUCCUCGGCUCAGGAAAUAUUUGGUUUUUCAAUUGUAGCUUAUUCUAACAAUAGUAUGAGAAUUAUUAUAAUAUAUAUUUUUAAUUUGUAUUAAGAAUGAUCAUAUCAUUAUUCUUAUAUAUAAGAAAUACUUCAAAUAAUAUUUACAAACCCAGUUUAGUAAUUAAUUCUCAAGUGACGUGCUCCAUCUCUUUUUUUUUCUCUCUUUUUGUUUGUCUGCGUGUGUUUCUUGAAGUAAAAGUCAAAUUAAUUAGUAUUUGUCGCAAUAAAUAGUUAAUUGGCAGUUGACAGGUUAGAGGUUAGAAGAUGGAAUGGAUGCAAAGGAGGAAAGUGGGGUUAUCCCUGCUACUGGUUGUUAUCCUCAUUUCCUUCAACUUAAGUAGUCUUGAUGGACAAAUAAUUAAACCAGG
RNAcentral lists this long non-coding RNA (1507 nucleotides) under Nicotiana tabacum (common tobacco). RNAcentral's name for it is "long non-coding RNA (NTAB_LNC002992)". Lineage: Eukaryota; Viridiplantae; Streptophyta; Magnoliopsida; Solanales; Solanaceae. The record is from RNAcentral.